Molecule: ribosomal RNA, 253 nt
Filed under: uncultured bacterium
Lineage: Bacteria
Description: partial 16S ribosomal RNA
Rfam family: Bacterial small subunit ribosomal RNA
Source: RNAcentral
UACAGAGGGUGCAAGCGUUGUCCGGAAUCAUUGGGCGUAAAGCGCGUGUAGGCGGCUCGCUAAGUCUGCUGUGAAAGUCCAGGGCUCAACCCUGGGAUGCCGGUGGAUACUGUCGAGCUCGAGUCCGGAAGAGGAGUGUGGAAUUCCUGGUGUAGCGGUGAAAUGCGCAGAUAUCAGGAGGAACACCAAUGGCGAAGGCAGCACUCUGGGACGUGACUGACGCUGAGACGCGAAAGCGUGGGGAGCAAACAGG